This 253-nucleotide ribosomal RNA is filed under the name uncultured bacterium. RNAcentral describes it as "partial 16S ribosomal RNA". It matches the Rfam family "Bacterial small subunit ribosomal RNA", at positions 524 to 776 of the family's 1533-position model. The record is from RNAcentral.
UACGCAGGGGGCUAGCGUUGUUCGGAAUCACUGGGCGUAAAGCGCACGUAGGCUGAUUGGUCAGUUGGGGGUGAAAUCCCGGGGCUCAACCUCGGAACUGCCUUCAAUACUGCCAGUCUUGAGUCCGAGAGAGGUGAGUGGAAUUCCUAGUGUAGAGGUGAAAUUCGUGGAUAUUAGGAAGAACACCAGUGGCGAAGGCGGCUCACUGGCGCGGUACUGACGCUGAGGUGCGAAAGCGUGCGGAGGAAACAGG